GGAAACGAUGGGAGCUUGCUCCCAGGCGUCGAGUGGCGGACGGGUGAGUAAUACUUAGGAAUCUACCCAGUAGCGGGGGACAACUCGAGGAAACUCGAGCUAAUACCGCAUACGCCCUACGGGGGAAAGCAGGGGAUCUUCGGACCUUGCACUAUUGGAUGAGCCUAAGUCGGAUUAGCUUGUUGGUGAGGUAAAGGCUCACCAAGGCGACGAUCCGUAGCUGGUCUGAGAGGACGAUCAGCCACACUGGGACUGAGACACGGCCCAGACUCCUACGGGAGGCAGCAGUGGGGAAUAUUGGACAAUGGGGGCAACCCUGAUCCAGCAAUGCCGCGUGUGUGAAGAAGGCCUGCGGGUUGUAAAGCACUUUCAGUAGAGAAGAAAAGCCUACGGUUAAUACCCGUGAGUCUUGACGUUACCUACAGAAGAAGCUCCGGCUAACUCCGUGCCAGCAGCCGCGGUAAUACGGAGGGAGCGAGCGUUAAUCGGAAUUACUGGGCGUAAAGCGCGCGUAGGCGGCUUUGUAAGUCGGAUGUGAAAGCCCUGGGCUCAACCUGGGAAUGGCAUUCGAUACUGCAGAGCUAGAGUAUGGUAGAGGGAAGUGGAAUCUCCGGUGUAGCGGUGAAAUGCGUAGAUAUCGGAAGG
Molecule: ribosomal RNA, 645 nt
Filed under: uncultured bacterium
Lineage: Bacteria
Description: bacterial SSU rRNA
Rfam family: Bacterial small subunit ribosomal RNA
Source: RNAcentral